Molecule: ribosomal RNA, 493 nt
Filed under: Blastocystis sp.
Lineage: Eukaryota; Bigyra; Opalinata; Blastocystidae
Description: SSU rRNA
Rfam family: Eukaryotic small subunit ribosomal RNA
Source: RNAcentral
GGAGGUAGUGACAAUAAAUCUCAAUACGAAGCCUUUGGUUUUGUAAUUGAAUUGAGAACAAUGUACAAUCGUUAUCGAUAAACAAUUGGAGGGCAAGUCUGGUGCCAGCAGCCGCGGUAAUUCCAGCUCCAAUAGCGUAUAUUAACGUUGUUGCAGUUAAAAAGCUCGUAGUUGAAGUUUAGAUGGUUUGAAGGGGGUGUUAGUAUCAAUGGUACUAUCUGCUCUCUUUGGAUUAUCGACUUCCAGGUAAGUAUAAUGAACCUUUCGGGGUUCGUUAUACCAGACUGGUCUUUUACUGUGAGAAAAUUAGAGUGUUUAAAGCAAACUAUCCCGAGUUUGAAUAGAUUAGCAUGGAAUAAUAAGAUUGGCUUUCAUAGUCGAUUUUUUGGUUUGUUUAUGAAAGCAAGAUUAAUAGGGACAGUUGGGGGUAUUCAUAUUCAAUAGCUAGAGGUGAAAUUCUAUGAUUUAUGGAAGAUGAACAAGUGCGAAAGCA